RNAcentral lists this long non-coding RNA (618 nucleotides) under Pongo abelii (Sumatran orangutan). Its description in RNAcentral is "lincRNA". The record is from RNAcentral. Lineage: Eukaryota; Metazoa; Chordata; Mammalia; Primates; Hominidae.
GAAGUGCCUGAUGGACGUGGCUCUCGUCACGAAAUGAGUUUGGAUCCGAGAAGCCCUCUUCUUCAUCAGAAAUGGGACAAAGAUGAGCUGCGUGCCCAUAAUUCCACGUUUACGCUGACUCCUCCAGAGCCUCAUCAAUGAAGUAAGCAGGCAGCUGCAUUCUGGAGGGCUAGCAUGUACCGAAGGCACACAACCUCCAGAGGUGACAGAGUCAAGUCCUGGCGUGCCUGAGGCUAUCCAGGGGAACACGCGGGACAGACAGCACCCUCAGACUGUCCCCAUGACCCUCUGCUCCACUCUGAGGGGCAGGACACCAUGAGACCUCUCAGACACAGAGUCCACCCUCGACAUGACCCGGGGGAAAGGCAGGAGUGUGCUCCCUGAAGGGGACCCAUCUCUGCAAGCCCACAGCCCUACCUGCGGCAUCCACAGCCUCAGAGAGCAGCGGGUCCCCUUACCCCCGAACUCCCUCCAAGUGCAUCAGGACAACAAGCCUUGAGCCCUGGAGACAAGAGAAUCAGUAUCCCUGGCCCAGGGAGGAUUCCAGGAGAGGACACAGGCAGGAGCCCUGGCCCAGAGCCAGAACCAAGAGUCCAGCCAGAGGCGGCUAGAGCAUCG